UAAUAAGUGUUUUAUGGCACUUUUUAAAUCCAUAUCCACCUUGUGUGCAAUGUCAGUCGAUCUUCUUCAUGGAGAUCGACCAAACAUCAACCUUUAUCUUUUAACUCUUUGUCUGAAAAACAUCUAUGAAUAAACAAUUCAAAAUA
Molecule: unclassified non-coding RNA, 146 nt
Filed under: soil metagenome
Description: partial internal transcribed spacer 1
Source: RNAcentral